AGAUGGUCAUUUUAUGCCAUGUAUCUUGGAGCAGUGGCACCAGGCCCAACCGGACAUGCCACCAAAGAUCAAAGUGCCGCCCCAUGAAGACAGCAUCGUGUACAGAUUAGUGGAUGCUGCUGCGGAGAUUCUGUGUGGCCAAGCAAAUGAAGACACUCUUGACCUUUAUGAAACACCAAGCUAUUUAUUAGACGAUGAUAGUCGCAAACGUUAUUGGCAGGUGAUCUUUCGGUUAACAUCUGAAUCUGAUGUACUUCAUCAGAUUUAGGGUGAUCUGUUAAGGACAAAACAAUCUGCACAGAAUAUAGAUGAACAAUCUGUGAUUACAGCCCUGCAAAAUUCCAGUCAAAUUUUAGUCACAUUUUUAAUGGCUGCCGUGAGAAAAGAGAUACAGAAAAUUGUGAAUUUAGAGCGAAUUGAGGAACAGAUGACAGAGAAGCUCCAAAAACUGUGCAAAUACUGGUACGCCAAGAGAGACAGAGUGGACUUUAUACUGGAGAGAACUUGGCAAGACUACGGAGCUGAUCAGUACAGUGAAGAUGCAUCUGACUUUGGAGAUUUUCAGCCUUCUUUUGGAUGACACAAUAUUAGCACUAAAUCAUAUGUGCUUUUCAACCUAAUAUACAAGUUUUAGAACCUUGUCAUUUUCAUACAUCUGUGCUAUGUUGUUAUUUUCUUUUUCGGUGAGUCUCAAAAAUCCUCUCAAGAAAAUGUUAAUGUCAUAUUUCACAUAGUUCAUAAAUUAUAUUUUGUUAAAGAAUAUAAAUGUAUAAACCCAUAAACCUGUUUUAGGACCAUUACGUUUUCUUGCAUUAUACAAUUAUUUUCAUGACAAUUAAGCAGAUUUUCACCUAAUUUCAACUUUUGCAAUGUAGGCUAAUGAAAAACAAAUAAAAAAGUUAUUCUGAAUACUGAAAUUCUAAAGAAAUUAUAUAUUAUUUAAAUUAUAAAUUAUUUAUAUGUUAUAUUAGUAUUGGUUGUACUGCUUUUAAUAUCUGAUUUAAAUAAAAAGUAAUUGUUUACUGUAUUGAAUUAAAUAUAAUACUGUAUUACAGUAAUGAUAACCUGCAAAUCAUCAUGUAGAAUAAUGGGAAAACUCAAAAGUAAAUGCACUGAUAUACUACAUUACGAAAUGUGCUUCGUAGUCAUACAAUGCAACAAAAUGCACAUAUAAAAACAAAAAUUCUGCAUGCAAAAUCUAUAUAUUUUUCUUUUGA
This is a long non-coding RNA of Carassius carassius (crucian carp), 1217 nucleotides long. RefSeq lists it as uncharacterized. The transcript has 4 exons. The record is from RefSeq and is a predicted model, not a curated record. NCBI's taxonomy places the organism in Eukaryota, Metazoa, Chordata, Actinopteri, Cypriniformes, Cyprinidae.